CUUUGUGUUGUUGUCGUGUUGGAGGGCUAGCUGUCGGGGGAGCUACUGCGACGAGCUCACCGCCGCCGUCUGGGUCGCUGUCGGAGGAAGAGAGCUUGCACAAGGGGAUGCUGGAGUGGCUCGCCGCUGCCGGAAGCGCCACUGCACCUCUGGCCGCCGGGAAGUCACAUUGAGGUCGCCGUUCUUCUGCCGCCGCCGCUGCCGGGGUUUCUGGUCAAUGGGUAUGGCGCUGUUGUUGCCGGAACCACCACCGGUGUUGCCGCUAGUUGUUUCCCUAAAGUCCGAGUCGUUGUGGUUGCUGAGAAAGUGAUUUGGAGCUGAGGUUGUAGCUGCUGCAGUUUCGGGUUGAGAGGAAAGGUUCCGUCGACGCGUUUGGAUUAUAGUUUCAACAAUCGAGAACUAUGGCCAGCUCUAUCUUGUCGCUACUCCGGUUCAAA
This 437-nucleotide long non-coding RNA is filed under the name Arachis ipaensis. RNAcentral's name for it is "long non-coding RNA (AIPA_LNC002577)". The record is from RNAcentral. Lineage: Eukaryota; Viridiplantae; Streptophyta; Magnoliopsida; Fabales; Fabaceae.